GAUGUUAUUUUAUGACUCUCCUUUCCUGCUCCUGGUAAAGUUUCAGCCCUGCCACCAUUAAGCUGCAUGACCAACAUAGACCAACAUAACAAGUGAUAGCUGUUGUCAUGACUACAGACAACUUCAGUUGUACAUAAAAAAACAAAAACAAAAACCACUUUGCAGACUCUUCCCAAUCAGAUGGCAAACCUAUGAAAGUUGAAGAAACUGAAGCACAAAGAAUAAUUAACUUGUCCAACGUCACAGAGCUUGGGAAAAGUUGAAGCAGAGGUUUGACCUUUGCAUAAAAUCAUGCCCACACAUGCAAAAGGAGCACAACAGGACUGGCUCCAUCAAGUACCACCUGGAGAUGUCCUUCAGCUAAAAAUACUAGACAGGCUGAAAAAGCAAAAUCCCAAUCAACUGAUGAUCAGGUGCCGGUCUGAUUUAAUUGUUUGGAAGCAGCCACUGGAGGCAAAGCCAUGUGACUCAGCCUUGGUGAUGUGGUCCAGCUGCCGUCUGACAGACUUCCAAGUUAUUUCAAUUACUCCAGUGGAUGGCUACGUCGAAAAGGCCUGUCAGAGACACGACAAAGCAGAACUGUCAUGACCCUGGUUGACAGCCACCAUGUAAUGGCAACAGAACUUGGGAGUUGGGUACGACUAAGGUUUUCUGCUCAUUAGCUCUGGGAAUUUGGGGGGAAACUGAUUACCUUCCUUUAGCUUCUCGUUUCUUAUCUGAAAAAGGAUGAGCACAACUAUCUUGCAAGGUGCGUGUAAGGAGAAGAUAACACACACAGAGAUGAUGACGUAGAAUUUAGUAUGUAAUAGUGACUAGGUGCAUGGCCAUUGUUAUGAUUCAUUUAAUGGCUGAGACUCAAAAGGAAAUUCCGUUAUUUUCAGAGCUGGCUGGUGGAGGAGAGGGACUUGGUAACGUUUAUUGAGCUUUUACUAUACACCAAGCACUGGGCCAAAUGCUUUACAUGAAUUACUUAAUUUCAUUCAUGGGGUUCAUUCCCUGCUGGCUGUUUCAGGCCCCGCUCUUUGGUUUAUUUGCUAAUUUAUCUAUUAUCUGUGUCCCUUAUGAGAAAGCAUGGAGCAUGUCUGUUUUAUUCAUUGUUGUGCCUCAGUGUCUUCUACCUCAAUGAUUGUUGAAUUAAUGAAUUAAUGAACCCAUGGGGGGAAAAAGAUCCCUCUAGGAAUGACCUUUGUCUUCUUCUAUCAAGCGAUCUUGAUUCAUGGCCACUCUUCUGGGAUGAGCUCAUUUCUCAUCCUUCCUACAGCCGUCAGCUUGCCCCUCACACCCCCUGCCUUGAGCAUGGACUGUCGUGGCCACAUCAGAAUUCUCCCGUGCUCCCAGCCGUGCUCCUCGCUGCUGCUUGGAAACCUUCCUCACACACCCUAAUCAGCAAGCCUCAGGUGUGUCAUUGUCAUUGACUGAGUCCCGGCCAGCAUUAUCCACUCAGAGCCAACGCCUGUCAUGACCAACCCCAGCUUGCCCUAACCCACCUGACCUUCUACCACUUACUGGUGUCACCGUGUUCCAGGAAGACCAGUAUCUGCUCGAACACUUUGGUACAGCCUUGACUCAUUUGAAGUAGAUGGAUGAAAAGUCAACAGGUUGGACACCAAAGAGAACAGAAGAGCUGUGCUUGGCGGGCAGAUUCUCUGCAGUUUGGUACAGGAGAAGCAUAGAAUUACUGCACCACCAUUCCCACAUCAAGUUUACUAUCUGCCUGAGGCCCAAUUAAUGGCAACAGAAAUGUCAUUCGGAACAAUUUCUCCAUCCAGUGGCAUCGCUUAUCAACUUACGAAAAUAACGCCAAUGAUGGCCAGGCGAGGUGGCUCACGCCUGUCAUCCUAGCACUCUGGGAG
This is a non-coding RNA of Microcebus murinus (gray mouse lemur), 1853 nucleotides long. NCBI's taxonomy places the organism in Eukaryota, Metazoa, Chordata, Mammalia, Primates, Cheirogaleidae. The record is from RefSeq and is a predicted model, not a curated record.